RNAcentral lists this transfer RNA (63 nucleotides) under Dipodomys ordii (Ord's kangaroo rat). It matches the Rfam family "tRNA". From Rfam's summary of the family: Transfer RNA (tRNA) molecules are approximately 80 nucleotides in length. Their secondary structure includes four short double-helical elements and three loops (D, anti-codon, and T loops). Lineage: Eukaryota; Metazoa; Chordata; Mammalia; Rodentia; Heteromyidae. The record is from Rfam by way of RNAcentral.
GGGAAUGUGGCUUAGUGGUAAAGUGCUUGCCUAGCAUGCAUGAGGCCCUAGGUUUCAUUUCUU